Molecule: ribosomal RNA, 261 nt
Filed under: uncultured bacterium
Lineage: Bacteria
Description: partial 16S ribosomal RNA
Rfam family: Bacterial small subunit ribosomal RNA
Source: RNAcentral
GUCCACACCGUAAACGAUGAGCACUAGGUGUCGGGUGAGCAAUCAUUCGGUGCCGCAGUUAACGCAUUAAGUGCUCCGCCUGGGGAGUACGCACGCAAGUGUGAAACUCAAAGGAAUUGACGGGGGACCCGCACAAGCAGCGGAGCAUGUGGUUUAAUUCGAAGCAACGCGAAGAACCUUACCAGGACUUGACAUCUCCCUGACAGGUCUUUAACCGGACCCUUCUUCGGACAGGGAUGACAGGUGGUGCAUGGUUGUCGU